This 215-nucleotide unclassified non-coding RNA is filed under the name Hevea brasiliensis (rubber tree). The record is from RNAcentral. Lineage: Eukaryota; Viridiplantae; Streptophyta; Magnoliopsida; Malpighiales; Euphorbiaceae.
CAAAAUCUAAAUAGACCCAUCCACCUUAGCAAACUAUAUCAACAACAAAAAAAAAUCAAUCAAUAGCAAAAUCUGACUAAGACCCAUUGAAGUCUUGGAGCCACACAACAAACUAAAUCCAUGAUGGUAGUGUUGAUUUUCGACUUAUGCAUUUUGAAAUUUGCAUGAAACCAAAAGGAGGCAUCACAAUGAAGCAUAGUCGAAGAAUCUCAAAG